UACGUAGGGUCCGAGCGUUGUCCGGAAUUAUUGGGCGUAAAGGGCUCGUAGGCGGUUUGUCGCGUCGGGAGUGAAAACACCGGGCUUAACUCGGUGCUUGCUUUCGAUACGGGCAGACUGGAGGUAUGCAGGGGAGAACGGAAUUCCUGGUGUAGCGGUGAAAUGCGCAGAUAUCAGGAGGAACACCGAUGGCGAAGGCAGGUCUCUGGGCAUUAACUGACGCUGAGGAGCGAAAGCAUGGGGAGCGAACAGG
RNAcentral lists this ribosomal RNA (253 nucleotides) under uncultured bacterium. RNAcentral describes it as "partial 16S ribosomal RNA". It matches the Rfam family "Bacterial small subunit ribosomal RNA", at positions 524 to 776 of the family's 1533-position model. The record is from RNAcentral.